UGUUUGGUUUGGUACUUCGCUAAGUUUGCUUAAACUAUUUGACUACCACUGGCCGAACCAAACUGUUCCCACUUUUAACGAGGAGAUCAGCUGUAUUUGACACUUUAUUUGUAAACACGGCAUAUUUCUGCUAUCUCGCUCGUAAAAUGUUUUCCAGUCUGCAAGUCCGCGAAAAAUUGAUUAUAUUUUAUAUUUUGUGAUUACAAAUCACCAUAAAAACGAUUCCACACGCGUUUCCGUCACCCCGACUACGGAAAGGACGCACUGCACACUUCCCGGGAGCUCCACUUGGGAAGCCGCCAAUUCUACCGCG
Molecule: long non-coding RNA, 313 nt
Organism: Rhagoletis zephyria (snowberry fruit fly)
Lineage: Eukaryota; Metazoa; Arthropoda; Insecta; Diptera; Tephritidae
Source: RefSeq, a predicted model, not a curated record